This 871-nucleotide ribosomal RNA is filed under the name uncultured Nitrososphaerota archaeon. RNAcentral's name for it is "bacterial SSU rRNA". It matches the Rfam family "Archaeal small subunit ribosomal RNA", at positions 45 to 922 of the family's 1478-position model. Lineage: Archaea; Thermoproteati; Nitrososphaerota. The record is from RNAcentral.
UAAGCCAUGCGAGUCAUUGUAGCAAUACAAGGCAUACGGCUCAGUAACGCGUAGUCAACCUAACCUAUGGACGGGAAUAACCUCGGGAAACUGAGAAUAAUGCCCGAUAGAACAUUAUGCCUGGAAUGGUUUAUGUUCCAAAUGAUUUAUCGCCGUAGGAUGGGACUGCGGCCUAUCAGUUUGUUGGUGAGGUAAUGGCCCACCAAGACUAUUACAGGUACGGGCUCUGAGAGGAGUAGCCCGGAGAUGGGUACUGAGACACGGACCCAGGCCCUAUGGGGCGCAGCAGGCGAGAAAACUUUGCAAUGUGCGAAAGCACGACAAGGUUAAUCCGAGUGGUUUCUGCUAAAGAAACCUUUUGUCAGUCCUAGAAACACUGAUGAAUAAGGGGUGGGCAAGUUCUGGUGUCAGCCGCCGCGGUAAAACCAGCACCUCAAGUGGUCAGGAUGAUUAUUGGGCCUAAAGCAUCCGUAGCCGGCUCUGUAAGUUUUCGGUUAAAUCUGUACGCUCAACGUACAGGCUGCCGGGAAUACUGCAAAGCUAGGGAGUGGGAGAGGUAGACGGUACUCGGUAGGAAGGGGUAAAAUCCUUUGAUCUAUUGAUGACCACCUGUGGCGAAGGCGGUCUACCAGAACACGUCCGACGGUGAGGGAUGAAAGCUGGGGGAGCAAACCGGAUUAGAUACCCGGGUAGUCCCAGCUGUAAACUAUGCAAACUCAGUGAUGCAUUGGCUUGUGGCCAAUGCAGUGCUGCAGGGAAGCCGUUAAGUUUGCCGCCUGGGAAGUACGUACGCAAGUAUGAAACUUAAAGGAAUUGGCGGGGGAGCACCACAAGGGGUGAAGCCUGCGGUUCAAUUGGAGUCAACGCCGGG